This 478-nucleotide ribosomal RNA is filed under the name uncultured bacterium. RNAcentral's name for it is "partial 16S ribosomal RNA". It matches the Rfam family "Bacterial small subunit ribosomal RNA", at positions 28 to 523 of the family's 1533-position model. The record is from RNAcentral.
GACGAACGCUGGCGGCGUGCUUAACACAUGCAAGUCGAACGGUAAGGCCCUUCGGGGUACACGAGUGGCGAACGGGUGAGUAACACGUGGGUGAUCUGCCCUGCACUUCGGGAUAAGCCUGGGAAACUGGGUCUAAUACCGGAUAGGACUCCGGACUGCAUGGUCUGGGGUGGAAAGCUUUUGCGGUGUGGGAGGGGCCCGCGGCCUAUUAGCUUGUUGGUGGGGUGGUGGCCUACCAAGGCGGAGACGGGUAGCCGGCCUGAGAGGGUGACCGGCCACACUGGGACUGAGAUACGGACCCGGAGCCUACGGGAGGCAGCAGUGGGGAGUAUUGCACAAUGGGCGCAAGCCGGAGGCAGCGACGCCGCGUGAGGGAUGACGGCCUUCGGGUUGUAAACCUCGUUCAGCAUCGACGAAGCGAAAGUGACGGUAGGUGCAGAAGAAGGACCGGCCAACUACGUGCCAGCAGCCGCCGUAA